Molecule: ribosomal RNA, 2138 nt
Filed under: unidentified
Description: eukaryotic LSU rRNA
Rfam family: Eukaryotic large subunit ribosomal RNA
Source: RNAcentral
CCUUUUGGGGUCUGGUACCCGGAUCGGGGGAGUGCUGUUUACUCUGGGUGAAUUGUGCAAUGGUUUCGGGUCCGUGUUGACUCGAGCUGGGGGUCGGUGGCGGUCGCGUGCGACACGUACCAGCAACCAGUUCGGUCCAGCUCAGGCUCUCACUUGUGCGUUCUCGGUGUAAAAGCCGGUCAUCUGUUCGACCCGUCUUGAAACACGGACCAAGGAGUUUAGCGUAUGCGCAAGUCAUUGGGUGUUCAAAACCCAAAGGCGCAAUGAAAGUGAAGGCUUCUUACGGAGCUGAUGUGUGAUCCCUGGCACUGCGGUGUUGGGGCGCAACAUAGUCCCGUCUCGAUCGCAUGCGAUGGGGCGGAGACAGAGCGUAUGCGCUGAGACCCGAAAGAUGGUGAACUAUUCCUGAGCAGGAUGAAGCCAGAGGAAACUCUGGUGGAAGUCCGAAGCGAUUCUGACGUGCAAAUCGAUCGUCUGACUUGGGUAUAGGGGCGAAAGACUAAUCGAACCAUCUAGUAGCUGGUUCCCUCCGAAGUUUCCCCCAGGAUAGCUGGAGCUCGUUAAGCAGUUAUACUCGGUAAAGCGAAUGAUUAGAGGACUUGGGGACGAAAUGUCCUUAACCUAUUCUCAAACUCUAAAUGGGUAUGAAGCCAGGGUUGCUUGACUCUGAACCCAGGCGUUGAAUGUUUGAGCUCCAAGUGGGCCAUUUUUGGUAAGCAGAACUGGCGAUGUGGGAUGAACCAAACGUGGAGUUAAGGUGCCAAAGUGCCCGCUCAUUAGACCCCAUAAAAGGUGUUGGUUGAUAUAGACAGCAGGACGGUGGCCAUGGAAGUCGGAAUCCGCUAAGGAGUGUGUAACAACUCACCUGCCGAAUCAACUAGCCCUGAAAAUGGAUGGCGCUGGAGCGGGCCACCUAUACUCCACCGUCAUUGGCUUGUACACGUGCUUGUCGCGUAGUCUGGCCAUGACGUGUAGGAGGGUCGUAGUGGUUGCGUUGAAGGCUUUGGGCGUGGGCCCGGCCGGAGCUUCCACCAGUGCAGAUCUUGGUGGUAGUAGCAAAUAUUCAAGUGAGAUCCUUGAAGACUGAAGUGGAGAAGGGUUCCACGUGAACAGCAGUUGAAUGUGGGUCAGCCGAUCCUAAGGCACCGGCUAACGCCGUAACACACUACGGAUGACGACUUUUCUGUGCUUGCGCAGUUGGUCCAUCCGGUUGCCGAAAGGGAAGUGGGUUAACAUUCCCACGCCAGGCUAGGGAAAUGACGGUUCGCAAGAGCUGUUUUGCGCGGUAACGCAAAUGAACUCGCAGACGUCGUGUGGAGUCCGAGCCAGAGUUCUCUUUUCUGGUUUAGGGUGUGCGUGCCUGGAAGUGGCUCAGCCUGAGAUAGGGAUGUUGCGCCCGUAAAGCACCGCGGUUCCUGUGGUGUCUCGUGCGCUCCACACGGCCCUUGAAAAUGCGAGGGAAGCUAUUUGAAUCUCCUGCCUGAUCGUACCGAUAUCCGCAGCAGGUCUCCAAGGUGAACAGCCUCUAGUCGAUAGAAUAAUGUAGGUAAGGGAAGUCGGCAAAUUAGAUUCGUAACUUCGGGAAAAGAAUUGGCUCUAAAGGUCGGGUCAGCCGGGCUGUUGCGUGAAACAGGCGGCUUUUGCCCGUGGCUGCGUGCUGUUCUUUCGGGGAUGGUGCGUGGACUAGUGGUGAGAGCUGCUUGUGGAGCGCUUCAGCUGCGUGUAUGCUCGUCAGGGUAUGCACUUCGGUUGGCGCUGAACGACCAGUUUAGAACUGGCACGAACUCGGGGAAUCCGACUGUCUAAUUAAAACAGAGGAGACGGAUGGUCCUUGUGGACGUUGACCGUGUCUGAUUUCUGCCCAGUGCUCUGAAUGUUAAGCCAAGGAAACUUGAUUAAGCGCGGGUAAACGGCGGGAGUAACUAUGACUCUCUUAAGGUACCCAAAUGCCUCGUCGGCUAACUACCGACGCGCACGAAUGGAUCAACGAGAUUCCCACUGUCCCUAUCUACUAUCUAGCGAAACCACAGCCAAGGGAACGGGCUUGGCAAAUCUAGCGGGGAAACAACACCCUGUUGAGCUUGACUCUAGUCUGACUUUGUGAAGUAUUUUUCAACAAUUUUCCUAUUUUUUUUUCU